This 2607-nucleotide ribosomal RNA is filed under the name Triticum aestivum (bread wheat). RNAcentral's name for it is "partial small subunit ribosomal RNA". Lineage: Eukaryota; Viridiplantae; Streptophyta; Magnoliopsida; Poales; Poaceae. The record is from RNAcentral.
AUGGCCCAGGCCGUGAUUGGAGCGAUGGGCACCCUCCUGCCCAAGCUAGCCGACCUAAUCACCAAGGAGUACAGCCUUCAGAGGGGUGUCAGGGGCGAGAUCAUGUUCCUCAAAGCCGAGAUGGAGAGCAUGGAGACAGCUCUCCUCAGGAUAUCUGAGGCGCCAAUGGACCAGCCACCGGACAUCCAAGUUAAGCUUUGGGCCAAGGCGGUGAGGGACUUGUCAUAUGACCUGGAAGAUAGCAUCGACAAGUUCAUGGUGCGCAUCGAAACCCAUGGCCGACCAGAUAAGUCCCAUAGCUUCAGGAAUUUCAUUGAUAAGAGCCUCAGCCUGCUGACCAAGGGCAAGAUUCGCCACAAGAUCGGCAUCGAUAUCAAAGACAUCAAGAGCCGCAUCAAGGAGGUCAGCGAGCGCCGUGAUAGGUACAAGGUUGACAGUGUGGCCGCUACCAAGCCACUUGGUCCAACUAUUGAUACCCUUCGCAUGUCAGCCUUGUAUAGAAAGGCUACGGAGCUUGUUGGCACCGACGAGAAGAGCGUUGAGGUAAUCAAGAUGCUGACUGAGGGAGACAUGGUUUCCCAGAAACAGCUGAAGGUGGUCUCUAUUGUUGGAUUUGGUGGAUUAGGAAAGACAACCCUUGCUAAUGCCGUCUAUGAGAAGCUGAAAGUGCAAGAAGAUAAUCAAGAACUGCAAUUCGAUUGCUCGGCUUUUAUUUCCGUGUCUCUUAAUCCUAACAUGGAGCAGAUUUUCAGGAGCUUGCUCCAUCAACUUGACAAGCAUAGGAUUCAAAACACCAAUGAGGCAUUGUGGGGCGAAGAACAACUCAUCCGUGAAAUAAGAACAUUUCUUGAAAACAAGAGGUACUUGAUUGUUAUUGACGACGUAUGGGAUAAGUCCGUCUGGGAAAACAUCAAAUAUGCGUUGAUUGAGAAUGAAUAUGAAAGUAGAGUAAUCACAACAACUCGCAUCCUUGAUGUUGCCCAGCAAGCUGGUGGUGUCUACCGGCUGAAUCCUCUUUCUGUUGUGGACUCAAGAAAGUUGUUCUAUCAAAGAAUAUAUGAUAUGGAGAACAAGUCACCACCUAGUCAAUUGGUUGAAGUAUCUGAGAACAUUUUAGAAAGAUGUGGGGGUGUGCCGCUAGCUAUCCUUACAAUAGGUAGCUUGCUGUCCAACAAAAAGGGAAGAGCACAUACACUUGAGUAUUGGUCCAAGGUGCAGAAAUCUAUUAGUUCAGGGCUAGACAAUAAUCAUGAUGAUGUGAAGAACAUGAGAAGGAUAUUAUCAGUCAGUUAUUCUAACCUACCACCACACCUAAAGACUUGUUUACUGCAUCUUAGUCUAUACCCAGAGGAUUAUAAGAUUGCAACAGAACAACUGAUAUGGAAAUGGGUGGGUGAAGGUUUCGUGAAAAAAGAACAGGGGAAGAGCUUGUAUGAAGUAGGAGGGGAUUAUUUGGAUGAGCUCAUUAAUAAAAGUUUGGUUCAACCUGCAAAAUUUGACAAUGCAAAUCAAGUGUGCUCUUGUCAUGUACACGAUAUGGUGCGUGACCUCAUCAUUUCCUUGUCAAGUGAUGAGAAUUUCCUAACAAGAAUAGGUGAUCCGCAACCAGAGUAUCUACCAAGUAAGAUCCGCCGACUGUCCAUCCAGACCUGCAUUCCAGAAGUUGUUAAUCAAUUGUCAACCAUGGGACUGACCAAUGUGAGGUCACUUACUGUGUCUAGUCCAGCUUUCAGUUUGUUGCCAACACUUUCGGGUUUUCCAGUCCUACGUGUAUUGGAUUUAACAUUCUGCAUGCAAGUGGAUAAUAAUAAUUGGAAGGAUAUUUGCAGUUUGUUUCACUUGAGAUAUCUGAGUUUAAAGGGAACGUCUAUCACCAGGAUCCCGAAAGAGAUUGCAAAUCUGCAAUUUCUGCAAGUGCUGGACAUCAGCUCGUGCACUGAAAUAGAAGAAGAGCUGCCGUCAACCUUUAUUCAACUAACACAACUAUUGUUAUUCCACAUGGCUGACAGCAUCACUUGUGCAGUACCUAGGUGGAUGUGUUCCAUGUCUUUCCUCUUCUCUCUUAGUAUCAAACUUGAAACAAUGGGAGAAGAAGACCUUCAAGUACUUGGGAACAUACCGUCUCUCAGUGAACUGUACAUACAAGUGCAGAAACCUACACAAGGUAGAGACAAACGGUUGGUCAUUGACAAUGCUUAUCCAUUUCGGUGUCUAAAGAGGUUUAGUGUCAAGGGUGACACCAUGGAGUUGAAGUUUGCACGGGGAGCCAUGCAAAGUCUACAGACCCUCCUGUUAGUUUUAGAUAAUGUGCAUGACACAUUCUCUCAGUUUGGUGAUCUUGUAUUUGGUUUAGAGAAUAUCUCUUUGCUUGAGCAUAUUGUUGUUGAGUUCCCCUUCGACGAAGAAGACAGUGAUGAGGAGACUCAAAUGCUGAGAAAUGUUGUUCAGAAAGAGGUUGAGAUGAAUCAAAACAAGCCCAUACUAACUUUCACACAAACAGAUGCCGUUGACGAACAUGCUGAGGAAUUCAUCAAGAGAUUCUAUUUACAGCUGAAGAAGCAGAAGAUAGAAACAUUCACCCAGUAUCUCGAUUCACUAGGAAACUAG